GAUGAACGCUGGCGGUGUGCCUAAUACAUGCAAGUCGAGCGAACAGACGAGGAGCUUGCUCCUCUGACGUUAGCGGCGGACGGGUGAGUAACUCGUGGAUAACCUACCUAUAAGACUGGGAUAACUUCGGGAAACCGGAGCUAAUACCGGAUAAUAUAUUGAACCGCAUGGUUCAAUAGUGAAAGACGGUUUUGCUGUCACUUAUAGAUGGAUCCGCGCCGCAUUAGCUAGUUGGUAAGGUAACGGCUUACCAAGGCGACGAUGCGUAGCCGACCUGAGAGGGUGAUCGGCCACACUGGAACUGAGACACGGUCCAGACUCCUACGGGAGGCAGCAGUAGGGAAUCUUCCGCAAUGGGCGAAAGCCUGACGGAGCAACGCCGCGUGAGUGAUGAAGGUCUUCGGAUCGUAAAACUCUGUUAUUAGGGAAGAACAAAUGUGUAAGUAACUAUGCACGUCUUGACGGUACCUAAUCAGAAAGCCACGGCUAACUACGUG
RNAcentral lists this ribosomal RNA (497 nucleotides) under uncultured bacterium. RNAcentral's name for it is "partial 16S ribosomal RNA". It matches the Rfam family "Bacterial small subunit ribosomal RNA", at positions 28 to 507 of the family's 1533-position model. The record is from RNAcentral.